UACGAAGGGGGCUAGCGUUGCUCGGAAUCACUGGGCGUAAAGGGUGCGUAGGCGGGUCUUUAAGUCAGGGGUGAAAUCCUGGAGCUCAACUCCAGAACUGCCUUUGAUACUGAGGAUCUUGAGUUCGGGAGAGGUGAGUGGAACUGCGAGUGUAGAGGUGAAAUUCGUAGAUAUUCGCAAGAACACCAGUGGCGAAGGCGGCUCACCUGGCCCGAUACUGACGCUGAGGCACGAAAGCGUGGGAGCAACAGGGAUUAAGAACA
Molecule: ribosomal RNA, 263 nt
Filed under: uncultured bacterium
Lineage: Bacteria
Description: partial 16S ribosomal RNA
Rfam family: Bacterial small subunit ribosomal RNA
Source: RNAcentral